GACAGAGGUCCCGAGCGUUAGGCGGAAUCACUGGGCUUAAAGCGUGUGUAGGCGGCGGCCUAAGUCCCUUGUGAAAUCCCACGGCUCACCCGUGGAACUGCUCGGUAUACUGGGUCGCUUGAGCCACUUAGGGGCUACCGGAACAAAUGGUGGAGCGGUGAAAUGCGUAGAUAUCAGUUGGAACGCCAAUGGUGAAAACAGGUAGCUGGGAGUGUGCUGACGCUGAGACACGAAAGCCAGGGGAGCAAACGGG
This 253-nucleotide ribosomal RNA is filed under the name uncultured bacterium. Its description in RNAcentral is "partial 16S ribosomal RNA". It matches the Rfam family "Bacterial small subunit ribosomal RNA", at positions 524 to 776 of the family's 1533-position model. The record is from RNAcentral.